RNAcentral lists this microRNA (21 nucleotides) under Populus trichocarpa (black cottonwood). RNAcentral's name for it is "ptc-miR7817b". The record is from miRBase by way of RNAcentral. Lineage: Eukaryota; Viridiplantae; Streptophyta; Magnoliopsida; Malpighiales; Salicaceae.
UCUCUUCUGUUCCUGAACGGU